This is a long non-coding RNA of Cavia porcellus (domestic guinea pig), 983 nucleotides long. RefSeq lists it as uncharacterized. The transcript is spliced from 4 exons. NCBI's taxonomy places the organism in Eukaryota, Metazoa, Chordata, Mammalia, Rodentia, Caviidae. The record is from RefSeq and is a predicted model, not a curated record.
CCACCCUUGGACCAGCUUUGCUGGGAGAAAUGCUAGGUAGGCCAGCAUGGUGACCUUGUAAGGCAGCUAGGUGACCUUCUUGCUCAGGGUGUUGACCAAAGGGCACACAGCAAAGUAAGAAGCAUCUGUGCAAGUUCAAUAAGUCUUGGUCCUAGCUCUGCCCAACUGGUGAGCAGAGUUUCCACUCUGGGAAGAACAAGCUGAGGGAUAAGGCCUACAAUCCUGCCACCCUACCUGGAGCUUCACAGGCUUUAUCAGGAAGGGAUCAAACUCAAGACUGCCUGCUUGCAAGGCAGGUGCUUAUGCCGCUGAGCUAAAUCUCCAACCUCCGACAGCUCAAAUCCUGAUGUGGGACCUUCAGCACCUGAAUCAACAGCCACAGGGAAGGGGCAGAAGAGCUUGAGUUUAACAGUCAGGCCUAGCACUACGAACACUACUGACACAGUUAUUUAUUGUUUACUUGGUGUCUAUUGCCUUAAAGUUAGGUUGCCCGUUAGUGAGUGAAAGCAAAACUGACUUCAUCAGCUAGAUUAAAAUACAAGCUAUUUGCAUGUGUUUUAAAUUUAGAGCUAUGGCAUCCAACUAAUUUUACAGUUUUUUGGUGAGAGGAAGUCUUUGGAAUUCAUGGAUUUAAAGUAUUGAGAGAAAAGCACAGAACAAAAUAUAAUUACAAGACUUCUUAUAUCUUUAAGAUUCUUAGAUAUUUAGGAGGAGCCUAGGAGGAAAAAUACUUGGGCUGAAAGACAGUGUGACCUUGGAUUUUUUACUAUUUCUGAAGGUAUCUGCAGCUAUUUUGAAGACAGCAGGAGUCAUUAUGAACAGAACUACCACACCAGGCCAAAGACUCCUCUCCUUCAAAAGGCAAAUCUGCAGAACUGGCUGCCAUCUGGGAACAUGGUGUUGGCAUGAUUCCCAUUACCUGAAAUAGUGGCAAAUUCUAAAUUUUUCAUGCAAAUAAAUAUAGCUUAUGAUGAAUACUUUCA